RNAcentral lists this non-coding RNA (789 nucleotides) under Trichomonas vaginalis G3. RNAcentral describes it as "Eukaryotic large subunit ribosomal RNA". It matches the Rfam family "Eukaryotic large subunit ribosomal RNA", at positions 1 to 1078 of the family's 3401-position model. Lineage: Eukaryota; Parabasalia; Trichomonadida; Trichomonadidae. The record is from Rfam by way of RNAcentral.
GUAGUCUGCCAUACGCAGGAAGACCCGCUGAACUGAAGCAUCUCAUUAAGCGGAGGAAAAGAAACUAACUAGGAUUCCCUUAGUAAAGGCGAUCGAAAAGGGAACAGCCCAACGUCUUAAUCCCGCAAGGGAAAUGUAGUCGGUUCACCUAUUGCACUGGUCUAAGUCAGAUGGAAUGCUGCGCGAUUCAGAGUAAAAGCCUCGUAUGACCAACCGCAAGCUUACGAUGGACCGGGGAGAGUCGGAUACUUUGAGAGUAGUGUCUUAAGGGGGUGGUAUGUCCCAUCCAAGGCUAAAUAACGUGAGGAGACCGAUAGAUUACAAGUAGUGUGAACGAAAGAUGAAAAGAACUCUAAAACAGAGGGUGAAAAGUUCCUGAACUUGCUUAGGGUUAAGGCUAUUUAUAGUACCCGUCUUGAAACACGGAUUAGGGAGUUUAUCUGUAGUGCGAGUCUUUGCACGUUAACUGUAAAGGCGUAGAGAAAGCAACUGGCGUUUGCAUGGCUACUGAGCAUUACUGAUAGGACCCGAAAGGUGGUGAACUUUGCCUGCACAGGUUGAAGUCAGGGGAAACUCUGAUGGAGGACCGUACGGGUUAUUGAUGUGCAAAUCAUUUUUCUGAUGUAGGUAAAGGUGCGAAAGACUCAUCGAACCACCUAAUAGCUGGUUUCCUCCGAAGUUUCCCUCAGGAUAGCUGUAAUGCAUUUAGUUAAGGGGAGUAGAGAUAUGGGUAGAGGUGCAGGGAGCCUUCGGGUUCUCAACUUAUUUCCAAACUUCGAACCUCCUUGU